This 373-nucleotide ribosomal RNA is filed under the name uncultured organism. Its description in RNAcentral is "partial 16S ribosomal RNA". It matches the Rfam family "Bacterial small subunit ribosomal RNA", at positions 527 to 896 of the family's 1533-position model. The record is from RNAcentral.
GUAGGUGGCAAGCGUUGUCCGGAAUUAUUGGGCGUAAAGCGCGCGCAGGCGGGCCUUUAAGUCUGAUGUGAAAGCCCACGGGCUCAACCGUGGAGGGUCAUUGGAAACUGGGGGACUUGAGUACAGAAGAGGAAAGCGGAAUUCCAAGUGUAGCGGUGAAAUGCGUAGAGAUUUGGAGGAACACCAGUGGCGAAGGCGGCUUUCUGGUCUGUAACUGACGCUGAGGCGCGAAAGCGUGGGGAGCAAACAGGAUUAGAUACCCUGGUAGUCCACGCCGUAAACGAUGAGCGCUAAGUGUUAGGGGGUUUCCGCCCCUUAGUGCUGCAGCUAACGCAUUAAGCACUCCGCCUGGGGAGUACGGCCGCAAAGGCUG